CGGCGCAGCCGUGGCGCCCCCCGGCGGGCUUUCUGGGCACCCGGGGUCCUGCGGACGCGCGCGCCUCUCGCCCGGCACCUCGGAGGGCGCCCGCCUUGGCCCGGUUGCCCCUGCUCUUGACCCCCGCUCUUGAUUCUGGGUCCAACUCUUCUGUCCUUCACUCCUCACUGGAGCUGAAAUCCCAGGUGGAUCCCCAGGAUGUGCUUCUCCGGGACCAGCUGGAGCCUCUUGAGCCCUCUGACACAGAGCCCCGGGGUGAGAAGAUUGUAGAAUGGACCUCUUAGAUGAGGCUGGAGACUUGGCCACGAUGACUGCAUUCCUGUAAUCUGGGAUCUCUUCUUGAAUGUACUGUAAGAGAAAGGGUGAUGCUCUUAAAUUGUCAACAGGAAUAUUGAAGAAGCUCUGGAUUUCCUUCUGGUGUAAAUCCAUAGUAAUAAGAUGAGUUAGACCAGCUUUGCACAUCAUGGAAGCCAGCAAUUUAGAGACAAUGGAGCCUCUUUUUCUCAUGUUGCACUGUUUGCUGUAAGGAAAGUAGGGGAUCAUGCUGAUGAUGCUCUUGGCACUAGAGGUUUUACAUGCAUAUACCAUAAUCAGGAGCUCCAUGAUAGCAGUGUUCACAUCCUUUGAGAUGGUCUGGAUGAUGAAAACAUCUUUUCCCCUCACAGAUUCUUGAAUUUGUACUCUUGUUUCUCAGUUAGGUUCCUGGUAAACCUUCACUUUGCCCAUCUCUACCCCCAGCCACUCGGCAAUUUUCUUUGAAAGUUCCAUACAUGAUGAAUUAGAAUUUGCUGAAAACAACACCAGACCUCCUUUGGUUAUGUUCACCUUGGUUUCCAAUUCAGGUGGUGCCACACAAAUAUCCCUUUCUAGGUUUUCCAAUUCUGAGCCUAACCCAGCCCCACUGCAGCCUCAGCUGCAGAAGGAAGAACAUGCCUGGUCUCCAGACCAUGUCUCUAGCAGCAAAAUGGCAACCCCAGGGUUCCAUCUCAUUUCUUGAAGGGUCAGUUUCAGCUCACGAAGACUGAGGCCUCACGAGAAAUAGGAUGCCUCAUGAGAAAUAGGACCCUCCAGUCACACUCUCCAGACUUCACUAUCUAAUAAGAAAACCAGGGCCGGGGAUUUAGUUCAGGGGUUUCGCUGUCUGCUGCGCAAGCACAAGGACCCGAAUUUGAUCCCUGGUACCAAAAAAAAAAAAGAAAGAAAACCAAUGAAAGCAACAGAAAAAUUUAGUUCCUCAGUUAUAGGUACAUUUCCAAUGUCCACUGAGCACAAGUGGCUAAUGGCAACCAUACAGGACAGUGCAGAUGGGCAUUUCCAUCAUUGCAGGAAGUUGUGUUGGAAAGAACUGACUUGACAUCUUAUUUUUGUCUGCAUAUUCAUAACACAGGCUUUAUAUGUGUAUAUUUAUGAAACAAAAAGUCUCCUAAUGAUACCUCUACUGUUUUAUAUGAACAAAAAUGAGAGGGUAUAGGAAGUUGAGGACAAUUUUAGGUUUAUGGUAUUAAGAGCUUUUCUUUUUUUCCUUUAAAGAUGAGUGUAGAGUAAGGAGCCAGGUGGAUAAUAACGGAGAUAACUAUAGAUUCUUGAACCCAAGGUUUAUGUACAAAUGAAUAUUUUCAAAGCAUAUGAAAGAAGAAACUUAUCAGAACAUAGUAGUAUACUCAAAUUCAUAUGCAUAAAGCUAAAUAUUGGAUUUAGAUUUUAAACCAACAAUACUUGGAAAUGAAGCCUUUUUGGGUUACUCCAGCCUUGAGGGACAGAAUGGUCUGUUUUCAACCUGUGGCCAUCAGGACACUUUCUGUUCUUUUGGCUGAGCAGAUAAUCCCUGGGGCACCUGGAAAAUAGCUGGUUAAAUUUAGCUCUGCUGCUGUCAAGUUGUAGGCUAGAUCAGUCACGCUGUGUUUUCUUAAUGGCAGAUGUGGGAGGAAGUAGAGUGAGAGUGUUCUGCACAAACCCACAUUGGCUCUGGUUCAAGGCAUCUUCUCUUGGGGUGGUCAGGAAGAGGAAGAAGAAAGAAAAAAAUAGGAAGAGAAAAGGGAAAGAAAAGCGAAAAAUGAUUUUUUAAAUGUUUAAUUUUAAUAAAUAUUUCCAAGUGUUGUCAAAGACAACACUUACAACACUCACGCUCACAUUACAAUUUAUAAUUGCAGAAGAAAAAAAUUCUAACCAGAGGCUCCCACUAUUGGUCUUCGAAGAGAGGAGGAAAAAUAAAUAAAUUUUGUGUGUGUUUAUUGUUUUGUUUUGGUUUAGAUUUGGGAUUUUUGAGAUAGGGUCUUGCUAUGUAGUUCAGGCUGACCUUGAGUUCACUGUGAUCCUCCUGCCUCAGCCUCCUGAUUGCUGGGAUCACAGAUGUAUGCCACCAUGCCCAGCUCAGAAUAAAUAUUUAAUCAUGACAUUUAACAGAAAAGGCAUAUUGGCUUUGGACUUAUAGUUGAAAAAUUUUGAUCAUCAAAGAUUGUUCCAUCCAUUAGAAUUUAUCCAUUGUAAAUUAUUUCCUGUAGGUCAGAGUUUCAGAGUCUAUAAUUAUUUCAAAUUAUACUUAAACUCUCCAUAUUCUGAAUUUCUUUGGAUUCUUUCCCUUUUGUUUGCUCAUAUUUCAGUCUUUGAUAAUGCUGGGUUGGUUGUGAAAUGUCAAAAACUUGUAUAUCUGGAGUAGGAGACAACGUGUUUUGGUUUUUCAGACACAAUGUAGUUGUUUUGUGUUCAGAAUCCAAAUGAUUACAGAUUUUGGAUUUUAUACCUUAACAAAAGAAUAGGUUGGGUGGUACAUUUUUAUUCUUUUAACCUUUGUCUUUAAUUCAAUAAAAUAUUAAACACAACAUUUUUAACUUCCAGGAAGCAGAAAUGAUUUGAGAAUUUGGUAUAGUCACUUUGUGAAUUAUUGAAAAGAUGUUAAUUAUAAUGUAGAAAUUAUACAGUUCUGAAAGGCAAAUUGUACUUUAUAUGUGAUGUGAUAAUAAAACUUUUCUAGUGGUAAACAAUAGUGACUACUUCUAAUUAUCAAAAUUUAUAAUGGCACAAUGUAUCUAAAAGUGUCCCUUGAUUUAACAUAAUUGUUUUAUGGGUUUUUUUUGCCUAUUAGUCUGGCUGUUAAUCUGUAUGUAUGAUAAUUAACUUUAUAAGGACUUAUAAGAGAAAGACAUGAAUCUGAUGCUGGCAAAAUGGAAGAGGGGAAGAGAAAAAAGAAUUGAAAUGUGUUAUGUAGAUGUACCAGUUCUGUAAAUGAAUGUAAUCAUGGACUGCAAACAUGUACUAAUAAAAAUU
RNAcentral lists this long non-coding RNA (3264 nucleotides) under Heterocephalus glaber (naked mole-rat). RNAcentral describes it as "lncRNA (ENSHGLG00100037709.1)". The record is from RNAcentral. Lineage: Eukaryota; Metazoa; Chordata; Mammalia; Rodentia; Bathyergidae.